Molecule: transfer RNA, 85 nt
Organism: Felis catus (domestic cat)
Lineage: Eukaryota; Metazoa; Chordata; Mammalia; Carnivora; Felidae
Rfam family: tRNA
About the family: Transfer RNA (tRNA) molecules are approximately 80 nucleotides in length.
Source: Rfam
GCCUGGGUGGCUCAGUCGGUUAAGCGUCUGACUUCGGCUCAGGUCAUGAUCUCACGGUCUGUGGGUUCGAGCCCCGUGUCGGGCU